Molecule: ribosomal RNA, 274 nt
Filed under: uncultured soil bacterium
Lineage: Bacteria
Description: partial 16S ribosomal RNA
Rfam family: Bacterial small subunit ribosomal RNA
Source: RNAcentral
AGAAUCAACGCUGGCGGCGUGCCUAAUACAUGCAAGUCGAACGCGAAGACCCCGCAAGGGGGUUGGUAGCGUGGCAAACGGGUGAGUAACGCGUGGGCGACCUGCCUUCGAGUGGGGGAUAACCUUCCGAAAGGGAGGCUAAUACCGCACUGACAUGCCGUGUUUAGAUACACGGACAUCAAAGCCGGGGAUCGCAAGACCUGGCGCUUGAAGAGGGGCCUACGUCCGAUUAGCUAGGUUGGUGGGGUUAAUGGCUCACAAGGCGACGAUCGGA